UUAAAAAUAAACAUUUUUGUAACUGUGUG
RNAcentral lists this non-coding RNA (29 nucleotides) under Rattus norvegicus (Norway rat). Lineage: Eukaryota; Metazoa; Chordata; Mammalia; Rodentia; Muridae. The record is from RNAcentral.